AUUGAACGCUGGCGGCGUGCCUAAUACAUGCAAGUCGAGCGAAUGGAUUAAGAGCUUGCUCUUAUGAAGUUAGCGGCGGACGGGUGAGUAACACGUGGGUAACCUGCCCAUAAGACUGGGAUAACUCCGGGAAACCGGGGCUAAUACCGGAAACAUUUUGAACCGCAUGGUUCGAAAUUGAAAGGCGGCUGCGGCGGUCACUUAUGGAUGGACCCGCGUCGCAUUAGCUAGUUGGUGAGGUAACGGCUCACCAAGGCAACGAUGCGUAGCCGACCUGAGAGGGUGAUCGGCCACACUGGGACUGAGACACGGCCCAGACUCCUACGGGAGGCAGCAGUAGGGAAUCUUCCGCAAUGGACGAAAGUCUGACGGAGCAACGCCGCGUGAGUGAUGAAGGCUUUCGGGUCGUAAAACUCUGUUGUUAGGGAAGAACAAGUGCUAGUUGAAUAAGCUGGCACCUUGACGGUACCUAACCAGAAAGCCACGGCUAACUACGUGCCAGCCGCCGCGGUAA
RNAcentral lists this ribosomal RNA (514 nucleotides) under uncultured bacterium. Its description in RNAcentral is "partial 16S ribosomal RNA". It matches the Rfam family "Bacterial small subunit ribosomal RNA", at positions 30 to 523 of the family's 1533-position model. The record is from RNAcentral.